This 482-nucleotide ribosomal RNA is filed under the name uncultured bacterium. Its description in RNAcentral is "partial 16S ribosomal RNA". It matches the Rfam family "Bacterial small subunit ribosomal RNA", at positions 30 to 507 of the family's 1533-position model. The record is from RNAcentral.
AUUGGACGCUGGCGGCAUGCCUUACACAUGCAAGUCGAACGGUAACGGGCCUUCGGGUGCCGACGAGUGGCGAACGGGUGAGUAAUACAUCGGAACGUGCCCGAUCGUGGGGGAUAACGAGGCGAAAGCUUUGCUAAUACCGCAUACGAUCUACGGAUGAAAGCAGGGGACCGCAAGGCCUUGCGCGGACGGAGCGGCCGAUGGCAGAUUAGGUAGUUGGUGGGAUAAAAGCUUACCAAGCCGACGAUCUGUAGCUGGUCUGAGAGGAUGAUCAGCCACACUGGGAUUGAGACACGGCCCAGACUCCUACGGGAGGCAGCAGUGGGGAAUUUUGGACAAUGGGCGCAAGCCUGAUCCAGCCAUGCCGCGUGCAGGAUGAAGGCCUUCGGGUUGUAAACUGCUUUUGUACGGAACGAAAAGCCUUCUUUUAAUACAGGAGGGUCAUGACGGUACCGUAAGAAUAAGCACCGGCUAACUACGUG